Amphiprion ocellaris (clown anemonefish) is the source of this 1346-nucleotide long non-coding RNA. NCBI's taxonomy places the organism in Eukaryota, Metazoa, Chordata, Actinopteri, Pomacentridae. The record is from Ensembl.
AUCUGUGGUUGGCAAGUCUGGUCGCAUCUCUGGCUGCUGUUGACCUUGUUUUUGGAGUAAAACACGUUUAUAUGUUGCCGGUCUCUUUGUUUAUUCGAGCCUUGUCAACUUUAAAGAGGCCGUAACAACCUGCACAUGAGGAAAAUCACUCCUGUAGAAUGCAGAUGUUCAGAGGGAGAUGAUGCCACAUCUGGUCCAGCUGAUGGAAGGUCUUGAAGUUCUCUGACUGGCCUCGACUGAAGAUGGUCGUCUCACUGGAUUUAAGCUGCACAAUGAGGGACGUCUGCAGAGACUGAGAAAGAGUCUCACCACAUCCUGACAUGAGGAAAAAGACUUUAUUGAAGACUACAAUGAGAAAAACUAUCAGACAGCAGACGGCUGCAUUUAAGGUGAGAUCUGAACAUUUGAUCUGGAACAGGAAUUCAAUAACUGCAGCAUGAGCUUCAUUUCAGUCUGUAGCUACUGAAUUCAUGGAUGAAUAAUCUGGCACUAGAGAAGAAGACCAUCAAACAUCCACGUCAGCUGAUGGAGGUCCAAGAGUCUCACCGAACAGCCAACCUACAGAGUGAAGACCUCGAAUCUGAUUGGACGGCCUCCUAUUCAGCCACAUGUGUGAACAAAUGCCUCUAAGCUGAUUUGUUUUCUAAAAUAAAUCUAGUUUGAGUCCUAAUCUAUGCCUGUGUGUUUGCUUCUUUACACCACUGUUAACAGUUUAGGCUGUUAGAUUGUUCCAGAUAAGACAAGUACAAGAUUCUUCAGAGCUGUUCUACCACGAGCCUGACAGGAAGAACGCCAACAGCUACUGAAUGUUCCUGUGGUUCCCUCAAGGCUACAGGAGGAGCCGUACGAGGACGAGCUGGUCCACCUGAUGGUGGCCAGUCGCUGUGGUUCAAAGCCAACACCGACUACGUGGACUUCUACUGGACCACAUGGAGGCCUUCAAACCGGACCAACAAGUUCACCGACUCCCCGACUCGUGGGUCUGAGGAUGCCGCCGAGCCUCGGUCCAGCCGGCCUCCUGUCUGUGGGUGUUUGAGUGCUGAGAGGUUUGUGGAUCCACGUGAACGUGUCUGUGUUGAAACAGCAGCUUUGGACUCAGUAACGCCAGGAAAAACCAAGAGCUCCUUUAUUUGUGACUUCCACUAAAAAAACUGAUGAAAAUAAGUUUGCCAGGGUUCUGACCGAUAACAGAUUAUUAAAUACUGAAAAUAAUUGUUUAAAUAUUCCUUUAAACAAUCCUUUUAGGUCUACAUUUCCUUUACACUGACUUCUUGGUAUAUGUACAAGUAUUUUGGGUGGAAUAUACCAUUAAGCCCGAUGUUCAAGGGUUCUUCUGGGAAUAUACC